UCGAGGGGUAUUAGGAGCUUGCUCCUAAGAGACCGGCGCACGGGUGCGUAACGCGUAUGCAAUCUACCUUAUACAGGGGAAUAGCCCAGAGAAAUUUGGAUUAAUGCCCCAUGGUAUUAUAGAGUGGCAUCACUUUAUAAUUAAAGUUCCAACGGUAUAAGAUGAGCAUGCGUCCCAUUAGUUAGUUGGUAAGGUAACGGCUUACCAAGACAAUGAUGGGUAGGGGUCCUGAGAGGGAGAUCCCCCACACUGGUACUGAGACACGGACCAGACUCCUACGGGAGGCAGCAGUGAGGAAUAUUGGACAAUGGGCGCAAGCCUGAUCCAGCCAUGCCGCGUGCAGGAAGACGGUCCUAUGGAUUGUAAACUGCUUUUAUACAGGAAGAAACAACUCUACGUGUAGAGUCUUGACGGUACUGUAGGAAUAAGGAUCGGCUAACUCCGUGCCAGCAGCCGCGGUAAUACGGAGGAUCCAAGCGUUAUCCGGAAUCAUUGGGUUUAAAGGGUCCGUAGGCGGUCUUAUAAGUCAGUGGUGAAAUCUCCUAGCUCAACUAGGAAACUGCCAUUGAUACUGUAAGACUUGAAUUUUUGUGAAGUAACUAGAAUAUGUAGUGUAGCGGUGAAAUGCUUAGAUAUUACAUGGAAUACCAAUUGCGAAGGCAGGUUACUAACAAACGAUUGACGCUGAUGGACGAAAGCGUGGGGAGCGAACAGGAUUAGAUACCCUGGUAGUCCACGCCGUAAACGAUGGAUACUAACUGUUCGGAGCAAUCUGAGUGGCUAAGCCGAAGUGAUAAGUAUCCCACCUGGGGAGGUCGCACGCAA
This 825-nucleotide ribosomal RNA is filed under the name uncultured bacterium. RNAcentral describes it as "SSU rRNA". It matches the Rfam family "Bacterial small subunit ribosomal RNA", at positions 62 to 891 of the family's 1533-position model. The record is from RNAcentral.